Molecule: small nucleolar RNA, 67 nt
Organism: Myxocyprinus asiaticus (Chinese sucker)
Lineage: Eukaryota; Metazoa; Chordata; Actinopteri; Cypriniformes; Catostomidae
Product: small nucleolar RNA SNORD58
Exons: 1
Source: RefSeq, a predicted model, not a curated record
UUGCUUUGAUGACAAUCUUAGGACACCUUUGGAAUUGAACAUGAAAACACCACUGAGUCUGAGUAAC